AAGUAAGAAGCAAUAAUUUGCAUCUAGUUUCGACCUAGAAGAAUGAUUGAAUAAUCCUUACUUA
Molecule: transfer RNA, 64 nt
Filed under: Cryptocephalus aureolus
Lineage: Eukaryota; Metazoa; Arthropoda; Insecta; Coleoptera; Chrysomelidae
Description: tRNA-Arg
Source: RNAcentral